GGCUCAGGACGAACGCUGGCGGCGUGCCUAACACAUGCAAGUCAGGGAGAAAGAGGUAGCAAUAUCUUGAGUAAACCGGCGAACGGGUGAGUAACACGUAAGCAACCUUCCUUAUGAACGGGAAUAACCCCGCGAAAGCGGGGCUAAUACCCGAUGACAUUUCGGUGCAGCAUUACACUGAACUCAAAGGCUCCAAAAGAGCGUCAUAAGAUGGGCUUGCGUCCCAUUAGAUAGUUGGCGGGGUAACGGCCCACCAAGUCGACGAUGGGUAGCUGGUCAGAGAGGACGAUCAGCCACACUGGAACUGAGACACGGUCCAGACUUCUACGGAAGGCAGCAGUGAGGAAUAUUGCUCAAUGGGCGAAAGCCUGAAGCAGCGACGCCGCGUGAGGGAUGAAAUCCGUUAGGAUGUAAACCUCUUUUGCAGGGGAUGAAUGUCCCGACUUGUCGGGAUUGACCGUACCCUGUGAAUAAGCACCGGCCAACUACGUGCCAGCAGCCGCGGUGAUACGUAGGGUGCAAGCGUUGUCCGGAAUUACUGGGUGUAAAGGGUCCGCAGGCGGGCAGACAAGUCGGUGGUGAAAGCUCUUCGCUUAACGGAGAGACUGCCAUCGAUACUGUUUGUCUUGAGUUCGAGAGAGGAUGAUGGAAUUCAUGGUGUAGCGGUGAAAUGCGUAGAGAUCAUGAAGAACACCGGUAGCGAAGGCGGUCAUCUGGCUCGAUACUGACGCUCAGGGACGAAAGCGUGGGUAGCAAACAGGAUUAGAUACCCUGGUAGUCCACGCCUUAAACGAUGGAUAUUCGGUGUCGGUCCGCAAGGAUCGGUGCCUGAGCCAACGCGUUAAAUAUCCCACCUGGGGAGUACGAUCGCAAGGGUGAAACUCAAAU
RNAcentral lists this ribosomal RNA (888 nucleotides) under uncultured bacterium. Its description in RNAcentral is "bacterial SSU rRNA". It matches the Rfam family "Bacterial small subunit ribosomal RNA", at positions 21 to 906 of the family's 1533-position model. The record is from RNAcentral.